GUACGAUCUGCGCAGUCGUUAACCCCGUUUGUCAAAUAUGAUUUGUUAAGUUCUUCAUUUUUGUUGUAUAUUAUUGUUAUUGCAAAUUUUGUUACUGUAAAAAUUGUGUUUACAUAUUCCUUUUUCUGUUGGACCAUCUGUUAUACUCGUAUUUUCAAGAAUGUUGGAUGGUUUUUCUUGUGUGAUAUGCAGCUACAAGACAAGGAUGUGCUCAAGUUCAAGAGAACUUCAUAAAGUUCACUUAAGUCGUGGAAGACAGUUUGAGUGUAGUGGUGAUCUUGAAAAAUAUGAAUGUCACAAUUGUGUCAGUUUUAAAACUCAGUGUUUGGCAGAACUAAAACAACACAUCGCACAAGGUCACGUCUCAGAAAAUAUUAAACUGAAACCCUACAGGUGUCCAAAAUGUGACUUUAAAUCCUAUUCUAAGUAUCUUGUUGGGAGACAUAUUAUUUUUGUAAAACACCAAGAAACAACGAAAGUGUCUCAGAAUGAACCUGUGAAACAUCCUGAAACAACAAAGAUUUUACUAGACAAAGUAAGGCAAGAACAAAAUUUAAAUGGACAAUCUCAAAACAAGACUGAUUAUCAAACUGAAAAAAUUGACAUUAAUCAAAAUUUGAAAAAUCCCGGGAUAAAAGCUAAAAAUGCAACAAUUCAAUGGAAUAGAUGUGAUUUUUGCUCUCAUAGAACUAGAAGUGAAGAGAGGUUGAGAGAACACAUCAGAAAAACACAUGACCCAAGGGUCUGUCACUUAUUACAUUCUUAUUACUUGAGAAAACACGUAGUUUGUAAGAAACGUAAAGAUAUUGUAGCAGUACAACCAAAUUAGUUAGAAACAACCAACGACUGUAUAUUUUUUUUGCUUCUGUAAGUAUACAAGAUGAGUUUUCUGUAAGUAUAUUUUUGUGUAUCUCAAAAUCUGAUAACCCUAAAAUAAGCGUUUGCUAGUUUUUAACUAUUCUUAUCUGUGCAUGUAAAUUUUUCUAGAAUUUUGUGUAAGUCUUUUUAAUUAAAAAUAAUUAAUUAUUAAUUAACAUUAAGUUGUAACAGAAUUAUUUUUUUGAUACAGUAAAAUAUAGGGUGAUUCAAAAAUGUGUGGCAUAAUUCUAACCACGAAUACACUCCUCUACAAAUAAGAAAAGUUAGCACAGUAUUUACUGACCCACCUCAAUAAAACAGAAAAAUUUUAGCUUUUAGAAAAUUGGUAUGCAAAAUUGAAAAUUAAAAAAUACACCUUUUGAAAUGGUGUUUUGGAAGUCUAGUAAAAGAUAUACAUUUCCGAUGACAAUGAAAUUCUUCCAGUUUUUUUUUCAUAUUUUUUCAAGCUUGUUUGCACGUAUUUUUGAUGACCUAUCAUUUUUUUUCAUAAAAAUGUUCUAUUUUCAUAUCGCCAAAAUGUACCGUUCUUGAGUUAUUUGGGUUUUAGCUAAACCCUACACCACGCUGCAAGAUUAAAAAGUAUGAAUUUUGAGCGUACCAUUACCUAGGAAACAAUCUACUACAAAUGACAGCUGUAAAUUCUGCCAAAUAAUUUAAAGUAAAAUUUGUUUAUUUCUUGAUGAUCACAAUAAAACACACAAUUAGGUGUUGGAAGAAACUAUAAAUUGUUAUUCAAAUCUUCUUUGUUCUUUGCGCUUCACUAAACAGCACAGGCGUCAUCUAGCGCCAAAUAUUGCAAUUGUGCUACUUGUUUUGACGUUU
Long non-coding RNA from Tribolium castaneum (red flour beetle), 1701 nucleotides. RefSeq lists it as uncharacterized. The record is from RefSeq and is a predicted model, not a curated record. The transcript has 2 exons. Lineage: Eukaryota; Metazoa; Arthropoda; Insecta; Coleoptera; Tenebrionidae.